Styela clava is the source of this 403-nucleotide long non-coding RNA. RefSeq lists it as uncharacterized. NCBI's taxonomy places the organism in Eukaryota, Metazoa, Chordata, Ascidiacea, Stolidobranchia, Styelidae. The record is from RefSeq and is a predicted model, not a curated record.
UUUAGAUAAAAUAGAACAGUUGUGUUUGGAGUAGCGAUCCAAGUCUUUUGUGUCAGGUGUUAUCAGUUACCCAGUGAGUUGAAGUCGAGUCAUAAUAAGCAAGGAUUUCAACGUCACCGAGGAAUGCUGCUGGAAAUCAUCACUCAUCGGAUAAGGUGACUCUCCAACGAGAUAGCCUACGUUUCAGAACUUGGCAGACGGAAAUGCGGGUAGUGAUUCGGAGAAAGCUGUGCCAGGAGUUUCAGAUAAGUCAACAGACUAUACCGCACCAUCUUCAGAAUCACUUUCAAUAAGCAAUUUAAGUGAUUUCGAAGAAAACCAUAUAUAUGGAAAAGAAAAAGGCUGUAAAUCAAUUAAAAAAAAAGCUUCUAAACAAACGCGAACCAGAAAAGAAACGACGAAA